AGUGUCGAAUCAUUUGUCAAUCAUUUGUGUAGGAAAUAUCAAAACAGAAAUAUUAAAUAAUUAUUUAUUGAACGUUAAUUGUCGACAAUAUUAUUCCAACAACAAAAUGCCGUUAAAGGGGAAUGCACAAAUAUGGAAGUACGAAAAUUUGUGCAACGCCUACAAACGAGCUACCAAAAAAAAUCAAUAUAAGGCCAGAUUAUGUGUCAGCUCGUAACCGAAAUCAAAGAUUCCACGAAAUUACAGUCAAACAUUGCUAAGUUGAACACAAGAUAUUUGUGUUUUUGGAAUGUUCAUAUGCGAAAAUUGAAAAAUUGGAAAACUUGCAUUAAUUUAAAUUCAAUUCGUUUUAGCAAAAUUUGUCAUUACAUUUUGAGAUUAAACUAAAACACAAUUCACAGCUCUUUUCAAUGUUUAUGUUUUUAGUGCUUGCGUUUCAAUUUCAGGGGAAAACUUCUGUCGACAAUUCUGCAACUGGGAUUGGGAUUUGUAUGCAAAAGGUACAUUUUAUUUUAUGCCACACCGCUUGGGCAAAUAUUUGAGGCCUUUUCAACAAAGAUGGUGAAAAUGAUGACGACGAUGAUGAUGAUGUUGAUGAUGAUAACGACGCACUCGUUGACAACGAAACUGGGAUUCACUGUUCAUUCAUUUAGGCUUUUGUUUGAAGAUUUUGACGCACUUGUCGUGGGGUCUGAAUAUA
Molecule: long non-coding RNA, 700 nt
Organism: Drosophila albomicans
Lineage: Eukaryota; Metazoa; Arthropoda; Insecta; Diptera; Drosophilidae
Exons: 3
Source: RefSeq, a predicted model, not a curated record